RNAcentral lists this long non-coding RNA (289 nucleotides) under Ananas comosus (pineapple). RNAcentral describes it as "long non-coding RNA (ACOM_LNC002033)". Lineage: Eukaryota; Viridiplantae; Streptophyta; Magnoliopsida; Poales; Bromeliaceae. The record is from RNAcentral.
AUGCUAUAUGAAAAUCAUGCAAUUAUACAAUUAACUAGUAGAUCAAUUGAUCCUACUUUCAAACCUGCUAUCUUUAGCUCAUAUCAUCUAACUCUAAGGUUUCUAUUACCUUAGGUUCACAACUCAAGUCCAUUUACUUUUAAGGUCUCUACUACCUUAUCCAAGCUAUCCACUCGACUCGGCCUCGAAUCAAUCAUCCGCGGACUACCGCGCACUAGCUGCAUCUCUUACACAGCCUGGCUGCCGUAACAGCCCGCCGCACCACUUGACUUAACCAUCUGGCGUCGAC